GAUCCUAGUCACCUGACAAUAAUUAACCUAACAAUGUUUAAUAUUACAAAUGUGAGCUAGAACAAUCAGCAUAUGUCACACCUAAGGAAAUCAGUUGAUAGAACAAAGCACAAAAACCCUAAAUCAAUAUCCCAAAAGAUUACAAAUAUAUAGGUUACCGCAAACACCGCAUUGGUCUUUGCCUUCCCAUGAACAAUUUGAAUCGGGCAGCGACCAAGAUAGACAGUCCAAAUCUGAAACAUGAUGAACAAAAGUGCACCAAAACGUCGAUCAAUACUCAAUAGUACCACCUUGUAACAUAAAAUAUCCCUCUCAUCAAGACAGAGGAUUUGCUGCAUAUUACAAUCUGGCACCGUUGAUGACACCUUAAAAAGAUAUGUUAGUGGCUCUUUGAUUAUGUCUUCCCUAUUCCUGGCUAACGCGCGCCCGUGUGACCCUAAUUUCUCAGAUGAAUGCAGACAAAAGUCUUGGUGACAACUUGUUACAUAAUGUAAUGCAAAAUAUAAGUACUCCGUAAACCAUAUUCCAUCGGACCCAGUUUAGAAAAGUUUGAGAAGCUCAACCUCGUAUAUCGAUCAUUCUUAUAAACAUGCCUCUGAGGAUUCAAAACACAUUUCACACUCCCCAAGUAAGAACUAUCUUUCUCUUGACGAAGUUAAAACCUAUUUGUUGCUAACUACAGGAAUUACAAACCUAGGUUUGUGUGAAAAUAGUCCAUUAACUGGUUUCUACACAAGAAAACGUGGGAACAAAUGAGAAAAAGGAGAAAGCAAGACCUGCAUGACAAGAGACACCUACAGCAACACGAGAGAAAAAGAUUGUAGAUAUUUGACACGAUUUGAAGAAUAUUAAUCACCUCAUCACUUAGAAACAAAUUGCAAGACUUGGAAAUAGUAUUUUGGCAGAAAGAAAAAACCACAUAAUUCAUUUAAAUGUGAGAAAAUCACAUUUUACUUUUCUUCAAAAUUUAGUCAUAGACGCGCAUACAUAAGCAUUCAGAAAGAAAUUCAAUUACUGUAGAUUUCGUAACCACUAUAUAUAUAUAUAUAUAGAAUUGGCCAUAUCUACAAAUCGCUUCUGGAACCCAUAUUUACUACUUAAAAAUUCGAAAAGAAUACACAAAUUGAUGAGUCUGUGGUCGUUUUGAAAAUUAAAUGCAAAGAACGUGUUCUUAGAUCAAGAACCAAGUCCACAAGAAUAUUCUCGUAAAGAUUCACAACGUGAUCACAUGGAACCAAUGAUAUAUAAAUUAGAUACCAUCUAUAUAAAUAUAGUGGUUACACAUCAAGCUAUAUAAAGCAGAAUAAUUUAGAAACAUGCCUCAAUCAAAAUGUACAAGCAUACAAUAUAAAUAAUCUAGAAAACCAACAGCUGAAGAUCAUGAACGGUAAUUUGCAAAUCCACAGAUGUCAUCAUAUGAAGCAAAUAAUAGAUCUAUACAUAUUUAUGAAUCAAGAGACUAAAUCACAGAUUUUGAAAGCUAAAAAAAGAGAGGAUACAAAACCACAUGAUUAAUAAUCUAAGCUUGAAUUGAGAAAAUUAAGGAUUCAAAAGAGUUUGGACCAGCCUAAGAAAGAACUAGGUUAACGUUAAUGGUCCCAUAUUAAUCUCGUUUAACCAAACCAUAAACAUUUAGAUUAAAGCUUUUUCGAAACUAAUGAUCUCAUAAAAUAUAAAGUAGAACAAAGGAGAAAUGAAAAGAGUAAAGUCGCAUGCAUUUAGAAACCAAAUCGUUACAUAUUAUAGGAGCGAGAUCGUAUCAAUUACCUUAAUUUGGAGGGAUGAAGAACAUAAGAGAGAGAGAAUGGGAACAAAAUUAAAGAAGAAAACGUGAACAGACCGAAAAGAAUCGGAGCCGGAAUCUGACAGAUAGAGCAGUGAGCACGCAAGAGAAGCAAAUGCAUCGAACAUGCAAAGUGCCUUUGUGUGCUCACUCUCUUCUGUCAGUUUCUAUGCGUUUCUCUAAAAUUUAUCCCAAAACUCAUUCAAUGUCCUUACCUACGCAGAUUCUGAAAUUAGAGAUCGACCAUUGGAAAUGGGUUUGGGAAAGGAGGAUGUAAAGUUAGAUCUGAGAGGCUUAGGUUAAGCAAGAACCAGAGGGAAUAUUUAUAAUCAAAGGAAAAGAGGAAAGUUAUACUACCUCCGUUUUCAUGCCGUAAGUAGUUUUAGGAAAAUGUUUUUGUUUCAAAAUGUAAGUAGUUUUCGUAGUUUUAGUUAAUUUUUACAUUUAUUGAAUACAGUGUGACCAAUCAAAUUAAAUAUACUUAUUUUUUAUUGGUUAAAUUAUAUCUAACCUAUUUAUUAUAAAAUACUUUUGAAAAACAUAACAAUUUUUUUAAUCUUCGUACUUUUAACUAAAACUACUUAUAUUAUGAAACGGAAGGAGUAUUCAUUUUUGGAUACCCUUGAGAAAACAAAUCUAGGGUUUGACCAAAUCAAGAAGGGAAAAUAAAUCAACAAAAAAGAAAGAACAAAGAGAGAUAUUCGGAGGAGAAGAGAAGAGGGGAGAAGGGAGAUUAACAAAAGAAGAAAAUAAAAAACAUUAUCCCUCUCUGUCGUUCACACUCUUCAAGAGUCUUAUCUCUGUUUUUGAGUUUUGUCUCUUUUCUCUCUCCCUCUUACGUGCAACGGGACAGAUGUCUAGAGAGAGACAUUUUGAGUGGAGGGGAAUUGGAUUCAACAGUACAUUGCGGUUUAUAGUGGUCAAUCUCAUAGCCUACAAACGGCAACGACAAACCUACUAAAGAUCUUGAGUUUUGCGUAUGAAUUUUGGUCUUUCACGAUGGAAUCUGCUCUUCUUUUGUUGUAAUUAAAAUAAGUAUUUCCGCGUUUUACUUUUAAAUAAACAGGUGAAACAAGGCGGAAACAAAUAAAGCAACUCAACACAGAAAUCUCAUACGUUUUACAUUACUAUAGGAAACUUUUGUUUUUAAUUCUUAAUUCUACACCUACAUAGUUUUCACAUUAUUCAAAAUUCUGCAGAUAAAAACAAAUUACAGAGUCACCAUUUUAAAACAUAAUUUCUUCAGUUACAAAAAAUGGCUUUAAUGUGCUAUCAGUUGCCGACACUACAAGAAAACAUAUUUUUUACUAGGGCAGUAUUCGUUGUAAAUUCGUCGUAAACCGGGUGUUACGACGAAUUAACGUCGAAAGACGUUUCGUUGUUAAACGUCCGUCGUAACGGAGGUUUCGUCGUAAACGACUCGUUACGUUUACGACGAAAUAUAUUCCUCGUAAAGCGCAGGGAAAGGAUUCGUCGUAAAAGCCAUGUAAAUAUUCAUCGUAAAGCCCACGUAAUUAUUUCGAUGUAAAACACACGUAAAUACUUUCGUUGUAAAUCACUCGUAAACAUUUCGAUGUAAAACCCUCGUAAAUAUUUCGAUGUUAAUCACUUGUAAACAUUCGAUGUAAACUCCAUGUAAUGUUUACGAGGAGUUUACAUCGUUUCUUAGUCACCUGACAAUAAUUAACCUAACAAUGUUUAAUAUUACAAAUGUGAGCUAGAACAAUCAGCAUAUGUCACACCUAAGGAAAUCAGUUGAUAGAACAAAGCACAAAAACCCUAAAUCAAUAUCCCAAAAGAUUACAAAUAUAUAGGUUACCGCAAACACCGCAUUGGUCUUUGCCUUCCCAUGAACAAUUUGAAUCGGGCAGCGACCAAGAUAGACAGUCCAAAUCUGAAACAUGAUGAACAAAAGUGCACCAAAACGUCGAUCAAUACUCAAUAGUACCACCUUGUAACAUAAAAUAUCCCUCUCAUCAAGACAGAGGAUUUGCUGCAUA
RNAcentral lists this long non-coding RNA (3783 nucleotides) under Brassica napus (rape). RNAcentral describes it as "long non-coding RNA (BNAP_LNC026988)". Lineage: Eukaryota; Viridiplantae; Streptophyta; Magnoliopsida; Brassicales; Brassicaceae. The record is from RNAcentral.